This 372-nucleotide ribosomal RNA is filed under the name uncultured prokaryote. Its description in RNAcentral is "bacterial SSU rRNA". It matches the Rfam family "Bacterial small subunit ribosomal RNA", at positions 524 to 896 of the family's 1533-position model. The record is from RNAcentral.
UACGUAGGGUGCAGGCGUUAAUCGGAAUUACUGGGCGUAAAGCGUGCGCAGGCGGUCUGCUAAGACAGGUGUGAAAUCCCCGGGCUUAACCUGGGAAUUGCGCUUGUAACUGGCAGGCUAGAGUGUGGCAGAGGGGGGUGGAAUUCCACGUGUAGCAGUGAAAUGCGUAGAUAUGUGGAGGAACACCGAUGGCGAAGGCAGCCCCCUGGGUUAACACUGACGCUCAGGCACGAAAGCGUGGGGAGCAAACAGGAUUAGAUACCCUGGUAGUCCACGCCCUAAACUAUGUCAACUAGUUGUCGGGGAAGAAAUUCCUUGGUAACGAAGCUAACGCGUGAAGUUGACCGCCUGGGGAGUACGGCCGCAAGGUUA